This 85-nucleotide antisense RNA is filed under the name Lactococcus cremoris. RNAcentral's name for it is "Lactococcus lactis subsp. cremoris ctRNA". It matches the Rfam family "ctRNA". From Rfam's summary of the family: Rolling circle replication plasmids contain a number of mechanisms to maintain a low copy number. One of these methods is to transcribe a small RNA called ctRNA (for counter-transcribed RNA) than is transcribed on the opposite strand to RepB the replication initiation protein. ctRNA binds to the mRNA of repB and causes translational inhibition. Lineage: Bacteria; Bacillati; Bacillota; Bacilli; Lactobacillales; Streptococcaceae. The record is from Rfam by way of RNAcentral.
UAGUAAUACUCCUUUGUGAGUGUUUUUAAAUAGGCAUAGAGAAAAAUCUUUAGCGGGUCAAUUUCUCUAUGUUUUUAUUAUAUCA